GAGAGCAUUCCAGUGAAGUGGGUGGAGAAGGAAACAGAUGUGAGACCAGAUGCAGAUCUGAACAAAUUUGUUAGGUCCUGAAUUUCUACUGAUCACAGUAGCUGAUGAGAAAUGUCUGUGGCAUAGUAGCAAGUCUCUCUGAACAAUUUAGAAUGGACGUUCAUAAAUUAAGGGCAUAGAUGUCAAAACUGUCAUUCUCUGCCUAUGAGAUGGAGAAAGCUGAUUUUAUCAGGAGGUAAACUGGU
Molecule: long non-coding RNA, 245 nt
Filed under: Homo sapiens (human)
Lineage: Eukaryota; Metazoa; Chordata; Mammalia; Primates; Hominidae
Description: HSALNT0088183
Source: RNAcentral